UACGUAGGGUGCGAGCGUUAAUCGGAAUUACUGGGCGUAAAGCGUGCGCAGGCGGUUUUGUAAGCCAGAUGUGAAAUCCCCGGGCUUAACUUGGGAAUUGCGCUCGAAACUACGUGGCUGGAGUGUGGCAGAGGAAGGUGGAAUUCCACGUGUAGCGGUGAAAUGCGUAGAUAUGUGGAGGAACACCGAUGGCGAAGGCAGCCUUCUGGGCCAACACUGACGCUCAUGCACGAAAGCGUGGGGAGCAAACAGG
This 253-nucleotide ribosomal RNA is filed under the name uncultured bacterium. RNAcentral describes it as "partial 16S ribosomal RNA". It matches the Rfam family "Bacterial small subunit ribosomal RNA", at positions 524 to 776 of the family's 1533-position model. The record is from RNAcentral.